This is a small nuclear RNA of Dipodomys ordii (Ord's kangaroo rat), 103 nucleotides long. NCBI's taxonomy places the organism in Eukaryota, Metazoa, Chordata, Mammalia, Rodentia, Heteromyidae. The record is from Ensembl.
GUGCCAGUUUGGCUGUAUGUAGGCUAAGACUGGAAUGCUUCACAGAUUAGUAAGGCCUCUGAGCAAGGAUGACACUAAAAUUCAGGAAGUGUACCAUAUUUUC